AGUCAACAUGCCCAGGGGACGUGGAUAACCUCGGGAAACUGAGGAUAAACCGCGAUAGGUCACUGCUUCUGGAAUGGGCAAUGACCCAAACCUAUAUGGCCCCUGGAUUGGACUGCGGCCGAUCAGGCUGUUGGUGAGGUAAUGGCCCACCAAACCUGUAACCGGUACGGGCUCUGAGAGGAGGAGCCCGGAGAUGGGCACUGAGACAAGGGCCCAGGCCCUAUGGGGCGCAGCAGGCGCGAAACCUCUGCAAUAGGCGAAAGCUUGACAGGGUUACUCUGAGUGAUUUCCGUUAGGGAGAUCUUUUGGCACCUCUAAAAAUGGUGCAGAAUAAGGGGUGGGCAAGUCUGGUGUCAGCCGCCGCGGUAAUACCAGCACCCCGAGUGGUCGGGACGUUUAUUGGGCCUAAAGCAUCCGUAGCCGGUUCUACAAGUCUUCCGUUAAAUCCACCUGCUUAACAGAUGGGCUGCGGAAGAUACUAUAGAGCUAGGAGGCGGGAGAGGCAAGCGGUACUCGAUGGGUAGGGGUAAAAUCCGUUGAUCCAUUGAAGACCACCAGUGGCGAAGGCGGCUUGCCAGAACGCGCUCGACGGUGAGGGAUGAAAGCUGGGGGAGCAAACCGGAUUAGAUACCCGGGUAGUCCCAGCUGUAAACGAUGCAGACUCGGUGAUGAGUUGGCUUAUUGCUAACUCAGUGCCGCAGGGAAGCCGUUAAGUUUGCCGCCUGGGGAGUACGGUCGCAAGACUGAAACUUAAA
Molecule: ribosomal RNA, 755 nt
Filed under: uncultured archaeon
Lineage: Archaea
Description: bacterial SSU rRNA
Rfam family: Archaeal small subunit ribosomal RNA
Source: RNAcentral